AAACAUAUUGUUGAAAUACGCGGCUAAUGAGCUAAUUUAAGGACACCAAGUAAUUCUUACAGCUGGUUGAAAUAUCAUAAUAAUAAGUUGCUCAGGGAUUUAAAUAAUUAAGUAGUAGUUGUUGUUUCAGUAAUCAACACCACAGUUGUACAGUGCAGAGGUGGGUGGGGGAGAAAAGGAUAGGAAGAGAGAGAGAAGAGAAAGUAAAGGAAAACAGAUGCAUAUGUUUGUU
RNAcentral lists this long non-coding RNA (232 nucleotides) under Panax ginseng (ginseng). RNAcentral describes it as "long non-coding RNA (PGIN_LNC011981)". Lineage: Eukaryota; Viridiplantae; Streptophyta; Magnoliopsida; Apiales; Araliaceae. The record is from RNAcentral.